RNAcentral lists this ribosomal RNA (478 nucleotides) under uncultured bacterium. RNAcentral describes it as "partial 16S ribosomal RNA". It matches the Rfam family "Bacterial small subunit ribosomal RNA", at positions 28 to 523 of the family's 1533-position model. The record is from RNAcentral.
GACGAACGCUGGCGGCGUGCUUAUCACAUGCAAGUCGAACGGAAAGGCCCUUCGGGGUACUCGAGUGGCGAACGGGUGAGUAACACGUGGGUGAUCUGCCCUGCACUUUGGGAUAAGCCUGGGAAACUGGGUCUAAUACCGAAUAGGACCGCAUGCUUCAUGGUGUGUGGUGGAAAGCUUUUGCGGUGUGGGAUGGGCCCGCGGCCUAUCAGCUUGUUGGUGGGGUAAUGGCCUACCAAGGCGACGACGGGUAGCCGGCCUGAGAGGGUGACCGGCCACACUGGGACUGAGAUACGGCCCAGACUCCUACGGGAGGCAGCAGUGGGGAAUAUUGCACAAUGGGCGCAAGCCUGAUGCAGCGACGCCGCGUGAGAGAUGACGGCCUUCGGGUUGUAAACCUCUUUCAGCAGGGACGAAGCGCAAGUGACGGUACCUGCAGAAGAAGGACCGGCCAACUACGUGCCAGCCGCCGCCGUAA